GAUGCGUGCUAGGUGUCGGUAGGGCUUUGAGCUGUAUCAGUGCCAAAGGGAAACUGUUAAGCGCGCCGCCUGGGAAGUACGCUUGCAAGAGUGAAACUUGAAGGAAUUGGCGGGGGAGCACCACAAGGGGUGAAGCCUGCGGUUCAAUUGGACUCAACGCCGGGAAACUUACCGAGGGCGACAGCAGAAUGAAGGUCAGGCUGACGACCUUACCAGACAAGCUGGGCGGAGGUGCAUGGCCGUCGCCAGUUCGUGCCGUGAGGUAUCCUGUUAAGUCAGGCAACGAACGAGACCCACGUGUUUAAUUGCCAGCAAUGGCCUUCGGGUCAGUUGGGAACGUUAAACAGACUGCCACCAUACAGGUGGAGGAAGGAGUGGGCCACGGCAGGUCAGUAUGCCCCUAACCCCUCGGGCCACACGCGGGCUGCAAUGGUAUGGACAAUGGGUCGCGACUCUGAAAAGAGAAGCCAAUCUCGAAACCAUAUCUCAGUUGGGAUUGUUGGCUGUAACCCGCCGACAUGAACGUGGAAUCCCUAGUAAUCGUGUGUCAUCAUCGCACGGUGAAUACGUCUCUGCUCCUUGCACACACCGCCCGUCGCUCCAUCUGAGUGGCGUACGGUUGAAGAUCGGUCCUGUGGGUCGGUUUAAAACUGUAUUCCGCGAGGAGGGAGAAGUCGUAACAAGGUAGCC
Molecule: ribosomal RNA, 690 nt
Filed under: uncultured archaeon
Lineage: Archaea
Description: bacterial SSU rRNA
Rfam family: Archaeal small subunit ribosomal RNA
Source: RNAcentral